GAUGAACGCUGGCGGCGUGCCUAAUACAUGCAAGUCGAGCGGACGGACGCUAAGCUUGCUUCUCUGAUGUUAGCGGCGGACGGGUGAGUAACACGUGUAUAACCUACCUGUAAGACUGGGAUCACUUCGGAAAACCGGAGCUAAUACCGUAUAAUAUUUUGAACCGCGUGGUUCAAUAGUGAGAUUCGGUCUUGCUGUCACUUCUAGAUGGAUCCGCGCUGCAUUAGCUAGUUGGUAAGGUAACGGCUUACCAAGGCAACGAUGCAUAGCCGACCUGAGAGGGUGAUAGGCCACACUGGAACUGAGCCACGGUCCAGACUCCUACGGGAGGCAGCAGUAGGGAAUGUUCCGCAAUGGGCGAAAGCAUGACGGAGCAACGCCGCGUGAGUGAUGAAGGUCUUCGGAUCGUAAAAAUCUGUUAUUAGGGAAGAACAGCUGUGUACGUAAAUGUGCACAUAUUGACGGUACCUAAUCAGAAAGCCACGGCUAACUACGUG
Molecule: ribosomal RNA, 497 nt
Filed under: uncultured bacterium
Lineage: Bacteria
Description: partial 16S ribosomal RNA
Rfam family: Bacterial small subunit ribosomal RNA
Source: RNAcentral